GGGCCCCAGUACCUGGGCAAGGGCCCUGGGCGCGUGGUUGGGAGUCCCCCGCCGCCCCGGGAGACGGGAGACUAAUGGGUGUUGUUGACGAGGCCAGGCACGCAGGCGGAGAAGAGCUGCCACUUGCCCCUCGCUCUCCAGGUGGACUCUGCGGUUUUUACCCCACGGCACAAAGUAGCCAGAAUACAAAAACUUCCUGUUUGCCACCCAGGCCUUCUCCAGCUACUGAGAACUUGUUCCGGUGAUGGAGCCUCAAAGGAAUUUGUGGAUUCCUCUCCCACAAGUGUCCAGGGGCAGGGGUGCUGUGAGAAUGUGCAGUUCACAAAGGGAGUGAGAAUGGCAGUCAAAAGAUGUAUAGAGUUAAGGGAAAGAAGAAAAGACUGAGUUGAUCUUGGGAAACCCAGCCACCAUAUUGUAGGCAGUCCUGUGAAAAGGCACAUGUGAACGAUCUCGGAAGUGGAGCUUCUGAGGCUUGCCAACAGCCACAUGACUGAGCUCAAAAGUGGAUACUUCAGAGACUCCAGCCCUGGCUGAUAGCAGAACUGCAACCCCAUGAGUGACUUUGAGCCAGAACCAUCCAGCUAAGUAACACCCAGAUUCCUGAGCCAC
RNAcentral lists this long non-coding RNA (609 nucleotides) under Homo sapiens (human). Its description in RNAcentral is "HSALNT0307651". Lineage: Eukaryota; Metazoa; Chordata; Mammalia; Primates; Hominidae. The record is from RNAcentral.